AGCGAACGCUGGCGGCAGGCCUAACACAUGCAAGUCGAACGAACUCUUCGGAGUUAGUGGCGGGCGGGUGAGUAACACGUGGGAACGUGCCUUUAGGUUCGGAAUAACUCAGGGAAACUUGUGCUAAUACCGAAUGUGCCCUUCGGGGGAAAGAUUUAUCGCCUUUAGAGCAGCCCGCGUCUGAUUAGCUAGUUGGUGAGGUAAAGGCUCACCAAGGCGACGAUCAGUAGCUGGUCUGAGAGGAUGAUCAGCCACAUUGGGACUGAGACACGGCCCAAACUCCUACGGGAGGCAGCAGUGGGGAAUCUUGCGCAAUGGGCGAAAGCCUGACGCAGCCAUGCCGCGUGAAUGAUGAAGGUCUUAGGAUUGUAAAAUUCCUUCACCGGGGACGAUAAUGACGGUACCCGGAGAAGAAGCCCCGGCUAACUUCGUGCCAGCCGCCGCGGUAA
Molecule: ribosomal RNA, 449 nt
Filed under: uncultured bacterium
Lineage: Bacteria
Description: partial 16S ribosomal RNA
Rfam family: Bacterial small subunit ribosomal RNA
Source: RNAcentral